Molecule: ribosomal RNA, 803 nt
Filed under: uncultured Pelagibacteraceae bacterium
Lineage: Bacteria; Pseudomonadati; Pseudomonadota; Alphaproteobacteria; Candidatus Pelagibacterales; Candidatus Pelagibacteraceae
Description: bacterial SSU rRNA
Rfam family: Bacterial small subunit ribosomal RNA
Source: RNAcentral
GGCACGCCUAAUACAUGCAAGUCGAACGCAGUAGCAAUACUGAGUGGCAGACGGGUGAGUAUAAUGUGGGUAUCUGCCUUUUGGUUUGGAAUAACUCGGGGAAACUUGAGCUAAUACCGAAUAAGCCCUUACGGGGAAAGAUUUAUCGCCGAAAGAUGAGCCCGCACUUGAUUAGCUUGUUGGUGAGGUAAAAGCUCACCAAGGCAACGAUCAAUAGCUGUUCUUAGAGGAAGACCAGCCACAUUGGGACUGAGACACGGCCCAGACUCCUACGGGAGGCAGCAGUAGGGAAUCUUGCACAAUGGGGGAAACCCUGAUGCAGCGAUGCCGCGUGAGUGAAGAAGGCCUUUGGGUUGUAAAACUCUUUCGUCGGGGAAGAAAAUGACGGUACCCGAAUAAGAAGGUCCGGCUAACUUCGUGCCAGCAGCCGCGGUAAUACGAAGGGAUCUAGCGUAGUUCGGAAUUACUGGGCUUAAAGAGCUCGUAGGUGGUUAAAAAAGUUGGUGGUGAAAUCCCAAGGCUCAACCUUGGAACUGCCAUCAAAACUUUUUAGCUUGAGUGUGAUAGAGGAAAGUGGAAUUUCUAGUGUAGAGGUGAAAUUCGUAGAUAUUAGAAAGAACACCAAAAGCGAAGGCAACUUUCUGGAUCACUACUGACACUGAGGAGCGAAAGCAUGGGUAGCGAAGAGGAUUAGAUACCCUCGUAGUCCAUGCUGUAAACGAUGUGUGCUAGACGUUGGAAAUUUAUUUUUCAGUGUCGCAGCAAAAGCGUUAAGCACACCGCCUGGGGAGUACGACCGCAAG